CUCACUUCCCCCCACUCACGAACCCUAGCUUCUUUGUGCCGCCGCCGCCGCUCGGUCUAGAUUUGGAGCUGACGUGCUCGCCUCGCCUCAGUUGGUUCCGGAUUUGGCCACAUGCGCGCGUCCGUCGUCCGUCGUUUGCUCGGUCGUCGCCAUGGGAAAGGGAGGUGGAUAGGGUUUGGUGCGAGGGUUUGUUCCUUCUUCGGAUUUGGCCGUGCUUGGUCCUGUUUUUUUGUUUCAGAUGCGGAUCUGAACCAUCCACAUAUGCGUUUAUUUUUGUUGAUUCUUUAACUGUUCGCUGUUGUCGUUGCAUGGUUGUCUGGUUUGGGUAUGUAAGAUUACAAUCAAACUGAACUAUGACAAUUUAUACAUCAUAGUUAGGUAUCAAAGUGAUUAUGUAUUCACGUGAAGACUAUGCAAGCCGAAUGGAUGUAUAGUCGUUACAUAUGUUCAGGUUUAGGAGAUUUACCAUGACAGCUUGUGACAGAUGCAAAUCAUGGAUGCUAGCAAGUGUGAUUGGAUGACGGUUGUGAGGUUCGUCGCUGCAGUUGUUGUGGUGUCUCUAGCUGUUAUUCAUUCCCAUUGAAACGUUUCGCCUAGCUCUCAGUGCUUUUAUACUGUUGAGCACCAGAAGCGGGGACUACCUCACGCUCACAUACUCAUCUGGCGGAAGGGAGAACAAGAUGGCGAUCGUUGCUUUAGAUGAGCUUGUCCAAGGAAAUAGCAAUGAUUCAGUCUAUGUGUAUGUCUCGCGACUAUGGAACCAUCGUGGAGGCACUGACACUGGUCCGAUCAAGCACACUGACAUGGUUCUUAUGGAUGCCGUGGGCAACCACAUGUAUGCUGAGAUUUCUGAGAAACUGGUUCCUACAUUUGCGUCAAGGAUUCGUGAAGGCUGCGCUUAUGUGAUUUCUCAGUUCUUGGUGUUUCCAAACAAACACUAUUUCAAGCCUGUCGCUGGACCACAUAUGAUCAGAUUCAACCGUUUUACCACAACCGACCCUCCAGCUAAUGAAGAGAUUGAAUUCCCAUUCUGUACUUACUCGCUCACCGCUUUGGCUCAUCUUCCUGCGCCGGUUGAGACCCCUGACUAUUUCACAGACAUCCUAGGACUUAUUGUCGGUGUGUCUGAUGCCAUGGUAUACCACAUCUCUAACAGAGCUGAGCCUUAUGUAAAGCGAACUAUCACUCUUGCUGACCUGAGUGGAUAUCAGAUCAAUGUCGUACUGUGGGGAGAGCAGGCAAAGGCCUUUGAUGGAGAUGAUGUCAUGCAGAUAGGCCAAACUGGACCAGUCAUUGCUCUAAUCGUUGGGACCCUGGUUAAAAACUAUGAAGGACGCAGGGGGGUUAGUGGUAGCGCAGCAUGCCGAUGGUACAUUAAUGAUGAUAUAUCUGACAUCACCCAAUUUCACGAAAGCCUCCAAGGAAAGUUCUCUCUUGUAAAGAAAAUUAUUCUUCCUGGUCAAACCGCAGAUGAGAAAAGUGCAUAGGUCAAUCUACAAACUAAAACAGUUGGUCAACUUCUCGACUUGAACAUAUAUGAGAAUAAGAGCACGCGUUUCUUCUGCUCGGUCACUUUGUACAGGCUCAGUCCUGGUCAGUGUUGGUGGUUCAUGUCUUGUGAGAAGUGCCAUAAAACAGCACAGCGACAUGGCCCUGUCUACAGGUGCAUUGACCCCACAUGUGCCUCCACCGACGCAAUGCCAAGAUAUCGCAUAUGCUUUAGAUGCACUAGCGAUUCAAGGGAGGCCGAGUUUAUUUUCUUCGACAGGGUUGGAAAAGAGAUUGUUGCCAAAUCUUUGAUCACUUUGCUGCAUGAAGGGUAUUCCAGUCGUACAACUCUUGAUGAGAUUGUUGAAAUAGCACGUGGAGACCCAGCCAUCCCUAAAUACAUAUCCACUUUGAUUGGCAAGAAGUAUAUAUUUGUGGUGUCUAUCUCUUCAAAGAGCUUUAUGCCUGAUGCCGAGGAGACAUCCUUCCAAGUUAUCAAGAUAGAUGUGCCUGUGGAAAAGACCUCGAGCUCUGCAGUUUUAUAUCGCAAGGCAGAUUCCUCUGGACCUUCUACUGGUGAUGUGGGGUGUCCUGGUUCUGGUGAUGUAUCACCCUUAGUGUUACCCGUUGGAAGCUUCUCUACCGAUACUGGUGCUUUUUCUCUUCCUGCAUUACCUGCUGGAUCUGUCUCGGUCCUGCCCAUCUCCGGUGAUCAGUCUGCAAAGGUUGUUGUUGCUCUUGGCUCUCAAUCGACCCUUGCUUCUCCGCCGUCUGUCAGUAAAAGUGGCUUGAAGAAAGGCCUUUCUAAAACCAAACUAACGAAUGCUGAUGUUCGCAAGCCUUUGUUCCCAGUUGACAAAUCUAAGGAAAAUGCAACGCUGGGCGAUGGUCCUGCUGUCCUAGGUGAAGAGGUGGACGGUACUACAAGCGAGGUGCCAUUGGCUGUUGAGGGCACCACCAUUCAAAAAACUAAAAAGGCAAGGAGGGCCUGAGACCGAAGAGGUCAGGUGUUGUUGAGUGCUCGCCCUUUUGGACCUUAUCCUUUUGUUUGUGGAUGCGUGAAGAAAUGAUGAAAAUGCUUGAUGAAUCAGCCACAAGAGGAGGAUGAAGCGCUUUUGGUUUAUCGUUGGGCUUUCUAAGUUGGUGCAAAUUUGCAUUGCCCUUAUUGUACAUUAUGUCUGCUCUACCUCGACCAUAUCAGGCAGCGAAUGUGUCUACAUUUGACUGAUACCCCUUGCCUAUUGUAGUCUAAGUAUGUGUGUAUCCUACCUCUAUGCUAUCAGACAGGACAUGUCUGUAUAAGACUUGAGAUCAACUAUUAGUGUAUGCUAAGCCAUCUGCUACCAACUGAACUAAAGAACCGUCGAUGUAAUAUCAUCAUGUGUGUACUUAAACAUGAUCGAUCAUGCACAUGUGACC
RNAcentral lists this ribosomal RNA (2907 nucleotides) under Triticum aestivum (bread wheat). Its description in RNAcentral is "partial small subunit ribosomal RNA". Lineage: Eukaryota; Viridiplantae; Streptophyta; Magnoliopsida; Poales; Poaceae. The record is from RNAcentral.